This 827-nucleotide ribosomal RNA is filed under the name uncultured bacterium. RNAcentral describes it as "bacterial SSU rRNA". It matches the Rfam family "Bacterial small subunit ribosomal RNA", at positions 8 to 825 of the family's 1533-position model. The record is from RNAcentral.
AGAGUUUGAUCAUGGCUCAGAUUGAACGCUGGCGGCAGGCCUAACACAUGCAAGUCGAACGGUAGCACAGAGAGCUUGCUCUCGGGUGACGAGUGGCGGACGGGUGAGUAAUGUCUGGGAAACUGCCUGAUGGAGGGGGAUAACUACUGGAAACGGUAGCUAAUACCGCAUAAUGUCUUCGGACCAAAGAGGGGGACCUUCGGGCCUCUUGCCAUCAGAUGUGCCCAGAUGGGAUUAGCUAGUAGGUGAGGUAAUGGCUCACCUAGGCGACGAUCCCUAGCUGGUCUGAGAGGAUGACCAGCCACACUGGAACUGAGACACGGUCCAGACUCCUACGGGAGGCAGCAGUGGGGAAUAUUGCACAAUGGGCGCAAGCCUGAUGCAGCCAUGCCGCGUGUAUGAAGAAGGCCUUCGGGUUGUAAAGUACUUUCAGCGAGGAGGAAGGCAUUGUGGUUAAUAACCGCAGUGAUUGACGUUACUCGCAGAAGAAGCACCGGCUAACUCCGUGCCAGCAGCCGCGGUAAUACGGAGGGUGCAAGCGUUAAUCGGAAUUACUGGGCGUAAAGCGCACGCAGGCGGUCUGUCAAGUCGGAUGUGAAAUCCCCGGGCUCAACCUGGGAACUGCAUUCGAAACUGGCAGGCUAGAGUCUUGUAGAGGGGGGUAGAAUUCCAGGUGUAGCGGUGAAAUGCGUAGAGAUCUGGAGGAAUACCGGUGGCGAAGGCGGCCCCCUGGACAAAGACUGACGCUCAGGUGCGAAAGCGUGGGGAGCAAACAGGAUUAGAUACCCCUGGUAGUCCACGCCGUAAACGAUGAGUGCUAAGUGUUA